AAACUUUCAACAACGGAUCUCUUGGCUCUGGCAUCGAUGAAGAACGCAGCGAAAUGCGAUAAGUAAUGUGAAUUGCAGAAUUCAGUGAACCAUCGAAUCUUUGAACGCACAUUGCGCCCGCCAGUAUUCUGGCGGGCAUGCCUGUUCGAGCGUCAUUU
This 158-nucleotide ribosomal RNA is filed under the name Corinectria fuckeliana. Its description in RNAcentral is "5.8S ribosomal RNA". It matches the Rfam family "5.8S ribosomal RNA". Rfam says of the family: 5.8S ribosomal RNA (5.8S rRNA) is a component of the large subunit of the eukaryotic ribosome. It is transcribed by RNA polymerase I as part of the 45S precursor that also contains 18S and 28S rRNA. The record is from RNAcentral. Lineage: Eukaryota; Fungi; Ascomycota; Sordariomycetes; Hypocreales; Nectriaceae. RNAcentral also lists the same sequence under 7 other names.